RNAcentral lists this ribosomal RNA (253 nucleotides) under uncultured bacterium. RNAcentral's name for it is "partial 16S ribosomal RNA". It matches the Rfam family "Bacterial small subunit ribosomal RNA", at positions 524 to 776 of the family's 1533-position model. The record is from RNAcentral.
UACGGGGGGGGCAAGCGUUGUUCGGAAUUACUGGGCGUAAAGGGCUCGUAGGCGGCCAACUAAGUCAGACGUGAAAUCCCUCGGCUUAACCGGGGAACUGCGUCUGAUACUGGAUGGCUUGAGGUUGGGAGAGGGAUGCGGAAUUCCAGGUGUAGCGGUGAAAUGCGUAGAUAUCUGGAGGAACACCGGUGGCGAAGGCGGCAUCCUGGACCAAUUCUGACACUGAGGAGCGAAAGCCAGGGGAGCAAACGGG